UUUCCGUAGGUGUACCUGCGGAAGGAUCAUUCAUAAUAAGUGUUUUAUGGCACUUUUUUAAAACCAUAUCCACCUUGUGUGCAAUGUCAGGGUUGAUUUUUCUCUCGAGAGGAUCAGCCCCAAACAUCAACUAUAUCUCAACUCUUGUCUGAAAAAUAUUAUGAAUAAAACAAUUCAAAAUACAACUUUCAACAACGGAUCUCUUGGCUCUC
RNAcentral lists this unclassified non-coding RNA (212 nucleotides) under plant metagenome. RNAcentral describes it as "partial contains small subunit ribosomal RNA, internal transcribed spacer 1, and 5.8S ribosomal RNA". The record is from RNAcentral.